This 2907-nucleotide ribosomal RNA is filed under the name Providencia stuartii. RNAcentral's name for it is "bacterial LSU rRNA". It matches the Rfam family "Bacterial large subunit ribosomal RNA". Lineage: Bacteria; Pseudomonadati; Pseudomonadota; Gammaproteobacteria; Enterobacterales; Morganellaceae. The record is from RNAcentral.
UUAAGCGACUAAGCGUACACGGUGGAUGCCUAGGCAAUCAGAGGCGAUGAAGGACGUGCUAAUCUGCGAAAAGCGUCGGUAAGGUGAUAUGAACCGUUAUAACCGACGAUGUCCGAAUGGGGAAACCCAGUGCAAUUCGUUGCACUAUCGUUUGAUGAAUCCAUAGUCAAACGAGGCGAACCGGGGGAACUGAAACAUCUCAGUACCCCGAGGAAAAGAAAUCAACCGAGAUUCCCCUAGUAGCGGCGAGCGAACGGGGAGCAGCCCAGAGUCUUAAUCAGCAUCAGCAUCAGGAGAACGGUCUGGAAAGGCCGGCAAUAAAGGGUGAUAGCCCCGUAUCCGAAGGUGUUGGUGUUGUGAACUCGAUGAGUAGGGCGGGACACGUGUUAUCCUGUCUGAAUAUGGGGGGACCAUCCUCCAAGGCUAAAUACUCCUGAUUGACCGAUAGUGAACCAGUACCGUGAGGGAAAGGCGAAAAGAACCCCGGCGAGGGGAGUGAAAUAGAACCUGAAACCGUGUACGUACAAGCAGUGGGAGCCUUGAUUUAUCAGGGUGACUGCGUACCUUUUGUAUAAUGGGUCAGCGACUUAUAUUCUGUAGCAAGGUUAACCGAAUAGGGGAGCCGUAGGGAAACCGAGUCUUAACUGGGCGAAUGAGUUGCAGGGUAUAGACCCGAAACCCGGUGAUCUAGCCAUGGGCAGGUUGAAGGUUGGGUAACACUAACUGGAGGACCGAACCGACUAAUGUUGAAAAAUUAGCGGAUGACUUGUGGCUGGGGGUGAAAGGCCAAUCAAACCGGGAGAUAGCUGGUUCUCCCCGAAAGCUAUUUAGGUAGCGCCUCGUGAACUCAUCUUCGGGGGUAGAGCACUGUUUCGGCUAGGGGGUCAUCCCGACUUACCAACCCGAUGCAAACUACGAAUACCGAAGAAUGUUAUCACGGGAGACACACGGCGGGUGCUAACGUUCGUCGUGAAGAGGGAAACAACCCAGACCGCCAGCUAAGGUCCCAAAGUCAUGGUUAAGUGGGAAACGAAGUGGGAAGGCUCAGACAGCCAGGAUGUUGGCUUAGAAGCAGCCAUCAUUUAAAGAAAGCGUAAUAGCUCACUGGUCGAGUCGGCCUGCGCGGAAGAUGUAACGGGGCUAAACCAUGCACCGAAGCUGCGGCAGCGACAUGUAAAUGUUGUUGGGUAGGGGAGCGUUCUGUAAGCCUGUGAAGGUGUGCUGCGAGGCAUGCUGGAGGUAUCAGAAGUGCGAAUGCUGACAUAAGUAACGAUAAUGCGGGUGAAAAACCCGCACGCCGGAAGACCAAGGGUUCCUGUCCAACGUUAAUCGGGGCAGGGUGAGUCGACCCCUAAGGCGAGGCAGAAAUGCGUAGUCGAUGGGAAACAGGUUAAUAUUCCUGUACUGGUGAUAAUUGCGAUGGGGGGACGGAGAAGGCUAGGCUGGCCGGGCGACGGUUGUCCCGGUUUAAGGAUGUAGGUGGGUGAAUUAGGCAAAUCCGGUUCGCUAUACACUGAGGUCUGAUGACGAGUCACUACGGUGGCGAAGUAGCUCAUGCCCCGCUUCCAGGAAAAGCCUCUAAGCUCUAGAUUAUCAUUAAUCGUACCCCAAACCGACACAGGUGGUCAGGUAGAGAAUACUCAGGCGCUUGAGAGAACUCGGGUGAAGGAACUAGGCAAAAUGGUGCCGUAACUUCGGGAGAAGGCACGCUGGCACUAGGUGAAGUGGUUUACCCAUGGAGCUGAAGCCAGUCGCAGAUACCAGCUGGCUGCAACUGUUUAUUAAAAACACAGCACUGUGCAAACACGAAAGUGGACGUAUACGGUGUGACGCCUGCCCGGUGCUGGAAGGUUAAUUGAUGGGGUUAUCCGUAAGGAGAAGCUCUUGAUCGAAGCCCCAGUAAACGGCGGCCGUAACUAUAACGGUCCUAAGGUAGCGAAAUUCCUUGUCGGGUAAGUUCCGACCUGCACGAAUGGCGUAAUGAUGGCCAGGCUGUCUCCACCCGAGACUCAGUGAAAUUGAACUCGCUGUGAAGAUGCAGUGUACCCGCGGCAAGACGGAAAGACCCCGUGAACCUUUACUAUAGCUUGACACUGAACAUUGAGCCUUGAUGUGUAGGAUAGGUGGGAGGCUUUGAAGUGUGGACGCCAGUCUGCAUGGAGCCAACCUUGAAAUACCACCCUUUAAUGUUUGAUGUUCUAACGUAGCCCCAUAAUCUGGGGUGCGGACAGUGUCUGGUGGGUAGUUUGACUGGGGCGGUCUCCUCCCAAAGCGUAACGGAGGAGCACGAAGGUUGGCUAAGCAUGGUCGGACAUCAUGCGGUUAGUGCAAAGGCAUAAGCCAGCUUGACUGCGAGAGUGACGGCUCGAGCAGGUACGAAAGUAGGUCUUAGUGAUCCGGUGGUUCUGAAUGGAAGGGCCAUCGCUCAACGGAUAAAAGGUACUCCGGGGAUAACAGGCUGAUACCGCCCAAGAGUUCAUAUCGACGGCGGUGUUUGGCACCUCGAUGUCGGCUCAUCACAUCCUGGGGCUGAAGUAGGUCCCAAGGGUAUGGCUGUUCGCCAUUUAAAGUGGUACGCGAGCUGGGUUUAGAACGUCGUGAGACAGUUCGGUCCCUAUCUGCCGUGGGCGUUGGAAGAUUGAAAGGGGCUGCUCCUAGUACGAGAGGACCGGAGUGGACGCACCGCUGGUGUUCGGGUUGUCAUGCCAAUGGCACUGCCCGGUAGCUAAGUGCGGAAGAGAUAACCGCUGAAAGCAUCUAAGCGGGAAACUUGCCUUGAGAUGAGUCUUCCCUGACUCUUUAAGGGUCCUAAAGGAACGUUUAAGACGAAGACGUUGAUAGGCUGGGUGUGUAAGCGUAGCGAUACGUUGAGCUAACCAGUACUAAUGAACCGUGAGGCUUAACCUG